RNAcentral lists this ribosomal RNA (284 nucleotides) under Parabacteroides merdae. Its description in RNAcentral is "partial 16S ribosomal RNA". The stretch from base 78 to 284 matches the Rfam family "Bacterial small subunit ribosomal RNA", at positions 567 to 776 of the family's 1533-position model. The record is from RNAcentral. Lineage: Bacteria; Pseudomonadati; Bacteroidota; Bacteroidia; Bacteroidales; Tannerellaceae.
UCUUUUCCUUUUUUUCCCUCCUCCUCUUUCCUCCUUCUUCUUCGCGCUUUCUCCUUCUUUCUUUUUUUUCCCUUUUUCUUCUUUUGUGCUUUCCUUCCGCGGUGAAAGUUUGUGGCUCAACCAUAAAAUUGCCGUUGAAACUGGGUUACUUGAGUGUGUUUGAGGUAGGCGGAAUGCGUGGUGUAGCGGUGAAAUGCAUAGAUAUCACGCAGAACUCCGAUUGCGAAGGCAGCUUACUAAACCAUAACUGACACUGAAGCACGAAAGCGUGGGGAUCAAACAGG